Molecule: ribosomal RNA, 1136 nt
Filed under: uncultured organism
Description: bacterial SSU rRNA
Rfam family: Bacterial small subunit ribosomal RNA
Source: RNAcentral
CGGCGCGCUUAAUGCAUGCAAGUCGAGCGAUGAGACUCCUACGGGAGCACAUCAGCGGCAGACGGGUGAGUAACACGUAGAUGACGUACCCUCAAGACGGGGAUAACGGAUGGAAACAUGCGCUAAUACCGGAUGACCUUACGAUGUCAGAAUGGUAAGGAAAGCUACGGCGCUUGAGGAGCGGUCUGCGGCCCAUCAGCUAGUUGGUAGGGUAAAGGCCUACCAAGGCGAAGACGGGUAGGGGGUGUGAGAGCACGGCCCCCCACAAUGGGACUGAGACACGGCCCAUACUCCUACGGGAGGCAGCAGCAGGGAAUAUUGCACAAUGGACGGAAGUCUGAUGCAGCGACGCCGCGUGAGUGAAGAAGGCCUUCGGGUUGUAAAACUCUUUUGAGGGGGAAGAGCGAGGACGGUACCCCUGGAAUAAGCGUCGGCUAACUACGUGCCAGCAGCCGCGGUAAGACGUAGGACGCGAGCGUUAUCCGGAUUUACUGGGCGUAAAGCGUCUGUAGGCGGAUGUGUAAGUUGGGCGUGAAAGCUCCGGGCUUAACCCGGAGAGGCCGUUCAAUACUGCAUAACUUGAGGGUGUCAGAGGGGAGCGGAAUUCCCGGUGUAGCGGUAAAAUGCGCAGAGAUCGGGAGGAACACCAGUGGCGGAGGCGGUUCCCUGGGGCACACCUGACGCUGAGAGACGAAAGCUAGGGGAGCGAACAGGAUUAGAGACCCUGGUAGUCCUAGCCCUAAACGAUGAAUGCUAGGUGUGGGAUCGAAUGGUUCCGUGCCGGAGCGAACGCGAUAAGCAUUCCGCCUGGGGAGUACGGCCGCAAGGUUAAAACUCAAACGAAUUGACGGGGCCCCGCACAAGCAGCGGAGCGUGUGGUUUAAUUCGAUGCUACACGAAGAACCUUACCUGGGUUUGACAUGUAGGUGGUAGUGAAUCGAAAGGUGAACGACCCUUCGGGGAGCCUACACAGGUGCUGCAUGGCUGUCGUCAGCUCGUGCCGUGAGGCGUCGGGUUAAGUCCCGUAACGAGCGCAACCCUUGCUCCUAGUUACAAGUGUCUAGGGGGACUGCCGGCGGAAAGCCGGAGGAAGGUGGGGAUGACGUCAAGUCAGCAUGGCCCUUAUAUCCAGGGCU